This 492-nucleotide ribosomal RNA is filed under the name uncultured bacterium. RNAcentral's name for it is "partial 16S ribosomal RNA". It matches the Rfam family "Bacterial small subunit ribosomal RNA", at positions 29 to 507 of the family's 1533-position model. The record is from RNAcentral.
AGUGAACGCUGGCGGUAGGCCUAACUCAUGCAAGUCGAACGGCAGCACAGUAAGAGCUUGCUCUUACGGGUGGCGAGUGGCGGACGGGUGAGGAAUACAUCGGAAUCUACUUUUUCGUGGGGGAUAACGUAGGGAAACUUACGCUAAUACCGCAUACGACCUACGGGUGAAAGCAGGGGAUCUUCGGACCUUGCGCGAUUGAAUGAGCCGAUGUCGGAUUAGCUAGUUGGCGGGGUAAAGGCCCACCAGGGCGACGAUCCGUAGCUGGUCUGAGAGGAUGAUCAGCCACACUGGAACUGAGACACGGUCCAGACUCCUACGGGAGGCAGCAGUGGGGAAUAUUGGACAAUGGGCGCAAGCCUGAUCCAGCCAUACCGCGUGGGUGAAGAAGGCCUUCGGGUUGUAAAGCCCUUUUGUUGGGAAAGAAAAGCAGCAGGUUAAUACCCCGCUGUUCUGACGGUACCCAAAGAAUAAGCACCGGCUAACUUCGUG